CUUUUUAACACCGUGGAAUAGAAAGUGACGGACACCGUUUUAUCACGCUGUCACGUAGACAAGAACCACCAUCAUAUCCGUUCUGUGCCCUCUGGGGGCCUAGCCAAAACACAUUUCGAAAAAAGAUAUCGCUAACGAAUCGAUAAAAAAUGUAUGGGAAUGACAGGUACCGUAGAUGAGUCUGUCGAAAAAUAUUAACGAAUACAAAAAUGUUAGCCAAGUUGCAAUGUUGUAACGAAACGCAAAACUUUCGUUACCGGGAUUCGCCAUCUGUCAUACAUUGCCUAGCCAAGUGACACUUUUGACAAGCGAAAUCAAAUCGUUAUCGCCUCCUAGGUGUAGCUACGUAGCGCGAGCUAUCCCCUUGCAGAUAACUUAUCGAAGCACAAGAAAAUACCGAAUAAUAGUGUUUGUAAAUUAGAAUUUGUAGUAAAAAGCAUACUUCAACAUCAUUGUGGGCGGCGAACAACGCGGAAGUGUCGCUUAGACGCAGGCGCCGUCUGAAAAAUCGCCUCUAUUGAAACUGCUUAGGAAAGGACUGCUACGAUCAAAGGAUUGUGGGCCGUACGCAGCAUUUCACCCAAAGAAUCCAAUGUGACCGAGGCGCUGAAUAUCUACCUAUCUAUAGUGACAGUGUCAUGGAAAAAUGGAUUAUGCACCCACAAAUGCAACACGUAACAACGUCCCUACAAAGGUGACUUGGAUAUUCAUUGCAGCCUCCAAAGCCAGGGUCAAGGGAAGAAACUAUGUCACAUGUACAACCACAAAAAUAUAUUGAGUGUUGUUUUACUGUUUUAAAACACUGUACAUAAUAUAUGUACAAACAAGAAUGCUUGGCUACUGAUUUCAUGCUGCCGGCAAAAAAUACCUGCUGCAUCUUUCAUUAACAGAUUUUCAAUAAAAUAAAUUAACUUUUUAACCCAAUCAUUGUUUCAUUUAUUUAUGGUGGUUACCACCUUAACUUUUGGUAUGCUUAGGAGCAGAUCUGCUCCCAUGUAUAUACUUACCUAUAUUCAACUUUAA
Cydia fagiglandana is the source of this 1023-nucleotide long non-coding RNA. RefSeq lists it as uncharacterized. The record is from RefSeq and is a predicted model, not a curated record. The transcript is spliced from 3 exons. Lineage: Eukaryota; Metazoa; Arthropoda; Insecta; Lepidoptera; Tortricidae.